RNAcentral lists this ribosomal RNA (404 nucleotides) under uncultured bacterium. RNAcentral's name for it is "bacterial SSU rRNA". It matches the Rfam family "Bacterial small subunit ribosomal RNA", at positions 355 to 776 of the family's 1533-position model. The record is from RNAcentral.
UGGGGAAUAUUGGACAAUGGGCGCAAGCCUGAUCCAGCAAUUCCGCGUGGGUGAAGAAGGUCUUCGGAUUGUAAAGCCCUUUCGACGGGGACGAUGAUGACGGUACCCGUAGAAGAAGCCCCGGCUAACUUCGUGCCAGCAGCCGCGGUAAUACGAAGGGGGCUAGCGUUGCUCGGAAUUACUGGGCGUAAAGGGCGCGUAGGCGGUUUGCACAGUGAGGCGUGAAAUUCCCGGGCUUAACCUGGGGGCUGCGUUUCAUACUCGCAGACUAGAGGAUGGAAGAGGGUCGUGGAAUUCCCAGUGUAGAGGUGAAAUUCGUAGAUAUUGGGAAGAACACCGGUGGCGAAGGCGGCGACCUGGUCCAUUACUGACGCUGAGGCGCGACAGCGUGGGGAGCAAACAGG